RNAcentral lists this ribosomal RNA (253 nucleotides) under uncultured bacterium. Its description in RNAcentral is "partial 16S ribosomal RNA". It matches the Rfam family "Bacterial small subunit ribosomal RNA", at positions 524 to 776 of the family's 1533-position model. The record is from RNAcentral.
UACAGAGGGCCCGAGCGUUGCGCGGAUUUAUUGGGCUUAAAGGGUGCGUAGGCGGAAAUGAAAGUGUUUUGUGAAAUCCCUCGGCUUAACCGGGGAAUUGCAGGGCAAACUCCAUUUCUUGAGGUCGGUAGGAGCUGCCGGAACAGUAGGUGUAGCGGUGAAAUGCGUAGAUAUCUACUGGAACGCCGAUGGUGAAGACGGGCAGCUGGGCCGAUUCUGACGCUGAGGCACGAAAGCGUGGGGAUCAAACAGG